Molecule: unclassified non-coding RNA, 1712 nt
Filed under: Sitophilus oryzae (rice weevil)
Lineage: Eukaryota; Metazoa; Arthropoda; Insecta; Coleoptera; Curculionidae
Description: uncharacterized LOC115882872, transcript variant X1
Source: RNAcentral
AGCUGCUUUGGAAUGAAUUUGCUUAUAAACUGCUUUGGAAUGAUUUUUUUUGGGGGGACAACAGCAGGAUUAGGGCCAUCUUCUAGAUGCCAUCAGGUAGGUGCGCUAGCGUAGUCGUUUAUUGUAGCAUUAUAUCCCUUUUCCCCCUUUUUAAAAAAUGUUUGUAAGACGCCUGAAAUUUGUAUAAGUUAGUUAUAUAAGUAGUUAAAUAAGAAUUGGUGAGACUUGAAAAAUAGAAGAGGAGAGAGAAGAUGGAAGAGGAUUGCUUUGAAAUAGAAGGAAAGGAGAUAGAAGAUGUUUGAGAGAAAGAGGAUGAUUUGUUCGCUGUAACGGAAGUUUUUUGAAUGAAAUUUGGAGCAACUGUAUUAAGAUGUUAUUGGUAUCUUGGACAUCAAGUUUCAUUUAUUUAUGUAUUAUACAAGCAUAUCUAUUGGAAAUGUAGAAUGGCAGCUGUUAUAACUACUUGGAUGAAUUAUUAGAAACACCCAAGAAGUUUUGACAUAAUUUAAACUGGGAGAAGGCUCACAAAUGACCAAUUUAUUCUAGAGUAGAUACAGGACAUUAAAUUGACUUCAACAUCGCAGAUAUCUCUCAAAAAUGAUAUCUGUUCGAGCGAUGUACUGGGCGUUAACAGUUGCUGUUACAAAUCUGCAAAUGAGUUAGUACUGUACAUAAGUUGCAGGAAUGCCAAGGAAUUUUUUGAAUAAUUACUGUUGCUUUAUGAAAAUGUAAGCAAUACAAAUUGGUAUUAAUGGACGUUUUGACAGCUGUUUCCAGUCCAAGUUCCAGUUUUAAUGGAAAAUCUUUAAUGGACACAGAAAUAAAAUGCCAUUUACUGGAUUGACUUCAACACCUGUUGUCUUUUAAUAAUGAUAUACAAUGGGACAAUUGGUGUUAGAAGUCAACAAGUAGUACUAAUUGCAAAUAAUAUAUUAUGGCGGACAUCAAAAAGCUUUAAAUGGAAUGAAACUUGCAGAAAAAGACUCAGAAAGACCAUUUAGGACGCAGAAAAAGACUCAGAAAGUCCAUUUAGAACUGUACUUAAUAGAUGUUAGAGUGGAUGCAGUCCUUCAUCAAUGUGAGCUGAACAAAUUGAUGGUAAUGGACAUUUUGACAGCUGCUGUCACAACUCAACGAACAAGUUGCAGCUUUGAAGGAAAAUUUUUGAUUGGAUACAGAAAAAUGUCAGUCAUUUCAGGACGUAAAGUUAAUAGAACCAGGGUUGGGCUCGACAUCUGUUGCCUUUUAAUAAUGGUAUACGCUGGGACAGUUGCUGUUAAAAAUCCACAAGCCGUACUAUCUGCAAAUAUUAUGGUGGACAUCAAAAAGCUUUAAAUGGAAUGAAACUUGCAGGAAAAGACUCAGAAAGACCAUUUAGAACUGUACUUAAUAGCUGUUGAAAAGUGAUCGCAGUCCUUUAUCAAUGAUAUCUCUGCAUUUUCUUAACAAUGGAUAUCAACAGUUUCUCCUACUCCUCACUUUCCUCUUUCGCUCAACAUAAAGCAGACUCAAUACUCCUCAAUGCCUCACCAAGGUUCGUUAGCUUCAUUAAUAAUGUUAUUGUUUCAAUAAAUUUGUUUAUUGGUUUUUAUCUUCUUACUAUUUAAUUAUAUCAGGCGUCAUUUUAAUGUUAAUUUUUUGUAAAAUUUUGAUAAUCUGGAUAGAAACCUUUUUUUUUCUUAAGCUUUUGCAAUAUAAAACACUAGUUAAGA